UGGGGAAUAUUGCACAAUGGGGGGAACCCUGAUGCAGCGACGCCGCGUGAGUGAAGAAGUAUUUCGGUAUGUAAAGCUCUAUCAGCAGGGAAGAUAAUGACGGUACCUGACUAAGAAGCCCCGGCUAACUACGUGCCAGCAGCCGCGGUAAUACGUAGGGGGCAAGCGUUAUCCGGAUUUACUGGGUGUAAAGGGUGCGUAGGUGGCAGGGCAAGUCAGAUGUGAAAGCCCGGGGCCCAACCCCGGUACUGCAUUUGAAACUGUCCAGCUGGAGUGCAGGAGAGGUAAGCGGAAUUCCUAGUGUAGCGGUGAAAUGCGUAGAUAUUAGGAGGAACACCAGUGGCGAAGGCGGCUUACUGGACUGUAACUGACACUGAGGCACGAAAGCGUGGGGAGCAAACAGGAUUAGAUACC
Molecule: ribosomal RNA, 414 nt
Filed under: uncultured bacterium
Lineage: Bacteria
Description: bacterial SSU rRNA
Rfam family: Bacterial small subunit ribosomal RNA
Source: RNAcentral